GACGAACGCUGGCGGCGUGCUUAACACAUGCAAGUCGAACGGAAAGGCCCUGCUUUUGUGGGGUGCUCGAGUGGCGAACGGGUGAGUAACACGUGAGUAACCUGCCCUUGACUUUGGGAUAACUUCAGGAAACUGGGGCUAAUACCGGAUAGGAGCUCCUGCUGCAUGGUGGGGGUUGGAAAGUUUCGGCGGUUGGGGAUGGACUCGCGGCUUAUCAGCUUGUUGGUGGGGUAGUGGCUUACCAAGGCUUUGACGGGUAGCCGGCCUGAGAGGGUGACCGGCCACAUUGGGCCUGAGAGACGGCCCAGACUCCUACGGGAGGCAGCAGUGGGGAAUAGUGCACAAUGGGCGGAAGCCGGAUGCAGCAACGCCGCGUGCGGGAUGACGGCCUUCGGGUUGUAAACCGCUUUCGCCUGUGACGAAGCGUGAGUGACGGUAAUGGGUAAAGAAGCACCGGCUAACUACGUG
RNAcentral lists this ribosomal RNA (468 nucleotides) under uncultured bacterium. RNAcentral describes it as "partial 16S ribosomal RNA". It matches the Rfam family "Bacterial small subunit ribosomal RNA", at positions 28 to 507 of the family's 1533-position model. The record is from RNAcentral.